RNAcentral lists this long non-coding RNA (304 nucleotides) under Capra hircus (goat). RNAcentral describes it as "lncRNA (ENSCHIG00000004848.1)". The record is from RNAcentral. Lineage: Eukaryota; Metazoa; Chordata; Mammalia; Artiodactyla; Bovidae.
CAUUUACCAAAGCCUAGCUCAAGAUACCUUCAGAAAUUGCACUGAAGUCUUGUUUGAAAGCUUAAAUGCUGUAGAUAGAUCAACACUGCGGAAAAACUAAUGGAAGGCUGGUGGGUUGCUAGUAGCGUCCAAGGUGACACCCUGGUGAAUGACCACUGAUGCUGGUGUGCUCGGGAUCCCGGUGAUAGAGAUGUGGAUGAAACAUUCCGUGCAUGUUCAACAGAAGUGCCUGUUUUCCAAGCUGAUAGAGUAUAUUUGCAUAGAAGAGGCAUUAAAAAGAGUUCCAAAUGCAGAUUCAGAAUAA